CCUGACUGCUAUCGGAUUGAUACUAAGCCAUGUGAGUCAUUGUAGUAAUACAAGGCAGACGGCUCAGUAACACGUAGUCAAUCUACCCUAUGGACGGGGAUAACCUCGGGAAACUGAGGAUAACACCCGAUAGAUCAUAAUGCCUGGAACGGUUUAUGGUCCAAAUGAUUCGUCGCCGUAGGAUGGGACUGCGGCCUAUCAGCUUGUUGGUGAGGUAAUGGCCCACCAAGGCUAUUACAGGUACGGGCUCUGAGAGGAGAAGCCCGGAGAUGGGUACUGAGACACGGACCCAGGCCCUAUGGGGCGCAGCAGGCGAGAAAACUUUGCAAUGUGCGCAAGCACGACAAGGUUAAUCCGAGUGUUUCCUGUUAAAGGAAUCUUUUGUUUGUCGUAGAACCACUAACGAAUAAGGGGUGGGCAAGUUCUGGUGUCAGCCGCCGCGGUAAAACCAGCACCUCAAGUGGUCAGGAGGAUUAUUGGGCCUAAAGCAUCCGUAGCUUGUUCUAUAAGUUUCCGGUUAAAUCCAUUAGCUCAACUAAUGGGCCGCCGAAAAUACUGUAGAACUAGGGAGUGGGAGAGGUAGACGGUAUUCGGUAGGAAGGGGUAAAAUCCUUUGAUCUAUUGAGGACCACCUGUGGCGAAGGCGGUCUACCAGAACACGUUCGACGGUGAGGGAUGAAAGCUGGGGGAGCAAACCGGAUUAGAUACCCGGGUAGUCCCAGCUGUAAACGAUGCAGACUCGGUGAUGCGUUGGCUUGUGGCCAGUGCAGUGCCGCAGGAAAGCCGUUAAGUUUGCCGCCUGGGAAGUACGUACGCAAGUAUGAAACUUAAAGGAAUUGGCGGGGGAGCACCCACAAGGGGUGAAGCCUGCGGUUC
RNAcentral lists this ribosomal RNA (876 nucleotides) under uncultured archaeon. RNAcentral's name for it is "bacterial SSU rRNA". It matches the Rfam family "Archaeal small subunit ribosomal RNA", at positions 21 to 903 of the family's 1478-position model. The record is from RNAcentral.